Molecule: ribosomal RNA, 502 nt
Filed under: uncultured bacterium
Lineage: Bacteria
Description: partial 16S ribosomal RNA
Rfam family: Bacterial small subunit ribosomal RNA
Source: RNAcentral
GAUGAAUGCUGGCGGCGUGCCUAACACAUGCAAGUCGAGCGGCAGCGAGUUUUACACUGAAUUCUGGAAGCUUCUGAGUAGUACAGAAGAUUUAUUCAAGAGUUUUGUGUAAAAUGUCGGCGAGCGGCGGACGGCUGAGUAACGCGUAGGAAUUUGCCCCAAAGUGAGGAAUAACUGCCCGAAAGGGUAGCUAAUGCCGCAUAUGGUCUUCGGAUUAAAGCCUUCGGGCGCUUUGGGAGAAGCCUGCGUUGGAUUAGGUAGUUGGUAGGGUAAUGGCCUACCAAGCCGACGAUCCAUAGCUGGUCUGAGAGGAUGAUCAGCCAGACUGGAACUGAGACACGGUCCAGACUCCUACGGGAGGCAGCAGUGAGGAAUCUUCCACAAUGGGCGAAAGCCUGAUGGAGCAACGCAGCGUGAAGGAUGAAGGACUUCGGGUUGUAAACUUCUUUUAUGAGUGAAGAAUAUGACGGUAACUCAUGAAUAAGCACCGGCUAACUACGUG